This 1178-nucleotide ribosomal RNA is filed under the name uncultured Lactococcus sp. RNAcentral's name for it is "bacterial SSU rRNA". It matches the Rfam family "Bacterial small subunit ribosomal RNA", at positions 311 to 1501 of the family's 1533-position model. The record is from RNAcentral. Lineage: Bacteria; Bacillati; Bacillota; Bacilli; Lactobacillales; Streptococcaceae.
CAUUGGACUGAAUCCGGCAAUUCUACGGAGGCCACCGAUGAUCUCGCAGUGGAACGAAGUCGACGAGCAUCGCCCGACGUGAGGUGAGAAGGUGUCGAUCGUAAACCUCGUUGCUCAGAGACCGAACAUUGCGUAGAGUGCAAAUACACAAGUGAACGUAUCUAGCAGAAAGGGACGCUAGCUACGUGCCAGCAGCCGCGGUAAUACGUAGGUCCGAGCGUGUCCGGAUUUAUUGGGCGUAAAGCGAGCGCAGGUUGUUAAUAAGUCUGAUGUAAAAGGCAGUGGCUCAACCAUUGUGUGCAUUGGAAACUGUUAGACUUGAGUGCAGUAGAGGAGAGUGGAAUUCCAUGUGUAGCGGUGAAAUGCGUAGAUAUAUGGAGGAACACCGGUGGCGAAAGCGGCUCUCUGGACUGUAACUGACACUGAGGCUCGAAAGCGUGGGUAGCAAACAGGAUUAGAUACCCUGGUAGUCCACGCCGUAAACGAUGAGUGCUAGUUGUUUGGGGCUAUCCAGCCCUAAGUGACGCAGCAAACGCAUUAAGCACUCCGCCUGGGGAGUACGACCGCAAGGUUGAAACUCAAAGGAAUUGACGGGGGCCCGCACAAGCGGUGGAGCAUGUGGUUUAAUUCGAAGCAACGCGAAGAACCUUACCAGGUCUUGACAUACCAGUGCUAUUCUUAGAGAUAAGAAGUUACUUCGGUACACUGGAUACAGGUGGUGCAUGGUUGUCGUCAGCUCGUGUCGUGAGAUGAUGGGUUAAGUCCCGCAACGAGCGCAACCCCUAUUGUUAGUUGCCAUCAUUAAGUUGGGCACUCUAGCGAGACUGCCGGUAAUAAACCGGAGGAAGGUGGGGAUGACGUCAAAUCAUCAUGCCCCUUAUGACCUGGGCUACACACGUGCUACAAUGGUUGGUACAACGAGUCGCAAGCUAGUGAUAGCAAGCUAAUCUCUUAAAGCCAAUCUCAGUUCGGAUUGUAGGCUGCAACUCGCCUACAUGAAGUCGGAAUCGCUAGUAAUCGCGGAUCAGCACGCCGCGGUGAAUACGUUCCCGGGCCUUGUACACACCGCCCGUCACACCACGAGAGUUUGUAAUACCCAAAGCCGGUGAGCUAACCUUUUAGGAGGCAGCCGUCUAAGGUAGGAUAGAUGAUUGGGGUGAAGUCGUAACAAGGUAGCC